This is a long non-coding RNA of Lacerta agilis (Sand lizard), 731 nucleotides long. RefSeq lists it as uncharacterized. The transcript has 4 exons. The record is from RefSeq and is a predicted model, not a curated record. NCBI's taxonomy places the organism in Eukaryota, Metazoa, Chordata, Lepidosauria, Squamata, Lacertidae.
AAAACCGACACGAAACGGGGAAUAGCCUUGAGCCCAAAAGUGAUGAAGCAACAGUUUUUCUAAUCAAACGAACUGAGGCCUUCAUCCUGCAAACCCCAAGUUUCCAGUGAGGAAUGGUUUAACGUUGAGGAGGAGGAGAGAAAGAAGAAGAUUAUUAAACAAGAAAAAAUAAUUGGCCAGGAGGACCAUCUGAGCAAAGCUACACAACAAAGCAAUCAAGAGCAGACACGGAAGCAGGAACAGCAGCAACAGAGGGCAAAGGCUGAGAAAUGUCACGUGGGAAAGAAAGAACAAAUGUACCCCAAAGAGAAGCAGAAGAAGCAGCUGAGGCCAAGGCCAAAUUACCAGCAGUGAAGCUGAAGGCAUCAGAAGCAAGUACAGGGCCAAGACGGAACCAGCAAAAGAGGCAAGGUCUGAAGCAAUAGCCAGAGCCGCAGAGAAGGUGGCAAGAUCACAAAUUGCAUUGGUUUUGCAAUCGGCAAAAGCAGAGCUGAGGCACAGAAGAAAUAAUCCAAGCUUGAGACAAAAGGAUACUCUUCUGAACAACUUGGAGGAAAACGGAAUAAAUGAGACUGAAAUGCAGUGAAGGCAGAAUGUGAUCAGUAGAUCCAUGGUAUGUAGUGGGAACAAGUGGACCUUCUUUGAGUAAUAGCAAAUCACACCCAGUAAUGGUGUGUCUUCCUUGGGAAACAUCAAUAACAUUGAUCAAUAAAGAUGCACAGAAUUCUGAA